UUGCACACAGAAGAUCAGGCUAAGAGAAAGAAUUAUAAAUCUCCGGAGGAAGGUCCGGUGGCUAAAUGGGAGCCAACAGUGAAAGGAUACUUUACAGUUUCUUAUGGACGGUAAAUUGGUUUACAACACGCUUGAAGGGAUCAUCGACGAAACCAAUUUCCCAACUUAUCGACCGCAAAUAGUGGCCAGAUCGGAGUUGCCUCGAGGGGUUUCUCAAAGCUUUCGGAGGUUAUUGACAUAAGCUCGGCUGCGCAUGGCGUAUUUGUUCUAGCUGGGACGAAGGGGUUUCCUCCAAAUUCUUCAACACACCAUUGACAGAUAUCUUCAAGGUUAGAAUCUCUCUUUCUGACAAUUUCGAUUCAUAUGGGAAUUUCAAUUUUAAUGUUUGUGAUUUCAGGGGAAGAAAGUCAUCAUCUGUGGACUCCCUUUGAGAAAAUGUCUAUCCCUUCAUCUUCCUUUAUUUCUUGAUCAUGUUUACAUGCUAGAACAAAUGAACGUUGCCAUAGCAUAUUGAGUUUUAUGGGAAUUUUGAUGGGAUAGUGUCUGUUGGUUUGGUUCUUGGUUUAAUGCACGUGUGGUUAAAACUUUGCUGCAAGUAACUUAGGAAGCGUUUUGUUUAUAGAGAAAGAGUGAAUGCUUGUAGAGUUUGUGACUGCAACUAGUUAUUUAUGUCGUCACUUUAUAUUUUAUGCAUCCUCUAAACAUAGAAAAUGGUGGUUUUUAUGUCUUAUAUGUUGUUCUUGUUUACAAAAGCGGUUUAUGUGUCUUCUUACUUCUGUUUUUGGUUAAACUCAUCUGCUCAUUUUCUUUGUAUGUCACUGCAAAUCAUAGCCCCAUUGAACUCUUGACACUCUUCCGUUCUGUUUUUCAGAGAACUUUUUAACUCAUGGAGAGCUUUUGGAAUGUAUGGUCAAUCUAUAUGACUUACAUGGCAAACCGUAAAAAAAAACAGACACGAUUUCAAGCUUAAAAACACUCAAAUAUUUUCUAUAUUAUCUCAGGCAUGAUUUUAUGUUUAGUUUUCGCCGCAUCAAACUGCAAUUAGCAUUCUUUAAGAUUGUUCUGUCUGUAGAAUUAGGUUGGUACAUGUAAGAGCUUGGAAGAACUACUCAUGUUAGACAUGUAUGAUUUCACAAAGUAUAAUGAAGUUUUCUUUUCUUUUUAUC
Molecule: long non-coding RNA, 1166 nt
Organism: Arabidopsis lyrata subsp. lyrata
Lineage: Eukaryota; Viridiplantae; Streptophyta; Magnoliopsida; Brassicales; Brassicaceae
Exons: 2
Source: RefSeq, a predicted model, not a curated record